Molecule: ribosomal RNA, 292 nt
Filed under: uncultured bacterium
Lineage: Bacteria
Description: partial 16S ribosomal RNA
Source: RNAcentral
GGACUACCAGGGUAUCUAAUCCUGUUUGCUCCCCACGCUUUCGCGCCUCAGCGUCAGUUUUGAGCCAGAAAGUCGCCUUCGCCACGAGUGUUCUUUCCGAUCUCUACGCAUUUCACCGCUACACCGGAAAUUCCACUUCCCUCUCUCAAACUCUAGCUAGACCGUUUCCCAUGCCAUUCCCAGGUUAAGCCCAGGUCUUUCACAUCAGACUAAUCUAACCGCCUACGCGCCCUUUACGCCCAGUCACUCCGAUUAACGCUUGCACCCUCUGUAUUACCGCGGCUGCUGGCAC